GCCGGUUCAGUCAUCUCCUGUGUCAUGUUUUGAAUUUUUUGGUAAUGUUCCUUCCUCAAUAAUCGUUUCAGUUUUCAAUCGCAUUUGCUCUGGAUUUCUCAUGGUCAGUAUCCCUUCCUUUAUAGUCGUUUAGAUCAUGCAUCCCUCAAUUCCUGCACUGGAUUUUUCAUUACCAGUGCUCCUUCUUAAACAGUCGUUUCAU
RNAcentral lists this long non-coding RNA (202 nucleotides) under Mytilus galloprovincialis (Mediterranean mussel). The record is from RNAcentral. Lineage: Eukaryota; Metazoa; Mollusca; Bivalvia; Mytilida; Mytilidae.